AUAUUGCGCAAUGGAGGAAACUCUGCCGCAGCGACGCCGCGUGAUCGAUGAAGUUCUUCGGAUCGUAACGCUCUGUCCUUGUGGGAGUAGAUCGACUGAUUUGACGGUACCCGAGGAUGAACCCCCGGCUAAGUCCGUGCCAGCAGCCGCGGUAACAAGUAGGGGGCAAGCGUUGUCCGGAAUUAUUGGGCGUAAAGGGUGCGUAGGCGGCUUUUUAAGUCAGAUGUGAAAGACCAAGGCUUAACCGUGGGGUUGCAUUUGAAACUGGAAGGCUUGAGUAUCGGCGAGGGUAGUGGAAUUCCCAGUGUAGCGGUGAAAUGCGUAGAUAUUGGGAGGAACACCAGUGGCGAAGGCGACUACCUGGACGAAAACUGACGCUGAUGCACGAAAGCUAGGGGAGCAAACA
Molecule: ribosomal RNA, 406 nt
Filed under: uncultured bacterium
Lineage: Bacteria
Description: partial 16S ribosomal RNA
Rfam family: Bacterial small subunit ribosomal RNA
Source: RNAcentral